RNAcentral lists this ribosomal RNA (492 nucleotides) under uncultured bacterium. RNAcentral's name for it is "partial 16S ribosomal RNA". It matches the Rfam family "Bacterial small subunit ribosomal RNA", at positions 29 to 507 of the family's 1533-position model. The record is from RNAcentral.
AGUGAACGCUGGCGGUAGGCCUAACACAUGCAAGUCGAACGGCAGCACAGUAAGAGCUUGCUCUUACGGGUGGCGAGUGGCGGACGGGUGAGGAAUACAUCGGAAUCUACUUUUUCGUGGGGGAUAACGUAGGGAAACUUACGCUAAUACAGCAUACGACCUACGGGUGAAAGCAGGGGAUCUUCGGACCUUGCGCGUUUGUAUGAGCCGAUGUCGGAUUAGCUAGUUGGCUGGGUAAAGUCCCACCAAGGCGACGAUCCGUAGCUGGUCUGAGAGGAUGAGCAGCCACACUGGAACUGAGACACGGUCCAGACUCCUACGGGAGGCAGCAGUGGGGAAUAUUGGACAAUGGGCGCAAGCCUGAUCCAGCCAUACCGCGUGGGUGAAGAAGGCCUUCGGGUUGUAAAGCCCUUUUGUUGGGAAAGAAAAGCAGCAGGUUAAUACCCCGCUGUUCUGACGGUACCCAAAGAAUAAGCACCGGCUAACUUCGUG